This 253-nucleotide ribosomal RNA is filed under the name uncultured bacterium. RNAcentral's name for it is "partial 16S ribosomal RNA". It matches the Rfam family "Bacterial small subunit ribosomal RNA", at positions 524 to 776 of the family's 1533-position model. The record is from RNAcentral.
UACGUAGGGUGCAAGCGUUAAUCGGAAUUACUGGGCGUAAAGCGUGCGCAGGCGGUUAUGCAAGACAGAUGUGAAAUCCCCGGGCUUAACCUGGGAACUGCAUUCGGGACUGCAUUGCUAGAGUAUGGGAGAGGGAAGUGGAAUUUCAGGUGUAGCGGUGAAAUGCGUAGAUAUCUGAAGGAACAUCAGUGGCGAAAGCGACUUCCUGGACCAAUACUGACGCUCAUGUGCGAAAGCGUGGGGAGCAAACAGG